Molecule: ribosomal RNA, 468 nt
Filed under: uncultured bacterium
Lineage: Bacteria
Description: partial 16S ribosomal RNA
Rfam family: Bacterial small subunit ribosomal RNA
Source: RNAcentral
GACGAACGCUGGCGGCGUGCUUAACACAUGCAAGUCGAACGGAAAGGCCCUGCUUUUGUGGGGUGCUCGAGUGGCGAACGGGUGAGUAACACGUGAGUAACCUGCCCUUUACUUUGGGAUAACUUCAGGAAACUGGGGCUAAUACCGGAUAGGAGCUCCUGCUGCAUGGUGGGGGUUGGAAAGUUUCGGCGGUUGGGGAUUGACUCGCGGCUUAUCAGCUUGUUGGUGGGGUAGUGGCUUACCAAGGCUUUGACGGGUAGCCGGCCUGAGAGGGUGACCGGCCACAUUGGGACUGAGAUACGGCCCAGACUCCUACGGGAGGCAGCAGUGGGGAAUAUUGCACAAUGGGCGGAAGCCUGAUGCAGCAACGCCGCGUGCGGGAUGACGGCCUUCGGGUUGUAAACCGCUUUCGCCUGUGACGAAGCGUGAGUGACGGUAAUGGGUAAAGAAGCACCGGCUAACUACGUG